This 320-nucleotide ribosomal RNA is filed under the name uncultured Butyrivibrio sp. RNAcentral describes it as "bacterial SSU rRNA". It matches the Rfam family "Bacterial small subunit ribosomal RNA", at positions 28 to 339 of the family's 1533-position model. The record is from RNAcentral. Lineage: Bacteria; Bacillati; Bacillota; Clostridia; Lachnospirales; Lachnospiraceae.
GAUGAACGCUGGCGGCGUGCCUAACACAUGCAAGUCGAACGGGGUUAAGGGAAAUUUUCGGAUGGAACUUAACUUAGUGGCGGACGGGUGAGUAACGCGUGGAUAACCUGCCUCACACUGGGGGAUAGCAGCUGGAAACGGCUGGUAAUACCGCAUAAGACCACAGCACCGCAUGGUGCAGGGGUAAAAGAUUUAUCGGUGUGAGAUGGAUCCGCGUCUGAUUAGCCAGUUGGCGGGGUAACGGCCCACCAAAGCGACGAUCAGUAGCCGGCCUGAGAGGGUGAACGGCCACAUUGGGACUGAGACACGGCCCAAACUCC